Molecule: ribosomal RNA, 390 nt
Filed under: uncultured bacterium
Lineage: Bacteria
Description: bacterial SSU rRNA
Rfam family: Bacterial small subunit ribosomal RNA
Source: RNAcentral
AGCGAACGUUAGCGGCGGGCUUAACACAUGCAAGUCGAGCGAGAAAGGGGCUUCGGCCCUGAGUACAGCGGCGGACGGGUGAAUAACACGUAGGUAACCUUCCUUCCAGCGGGGGACAACGGUCCGAAAGGACCGCUAAUACCGCAUACGUUCCCUGGGACCCUGGUCCCGGGGAGGAAAGCUCCGCAAGGGGCACUGGAUGAGGGGCCUGCGUAGCAUCAGCUAGUUGGUGGGGUAAUGGCCUACCAAGGCUAAGACGCUUAGCUGGUCUGAGAGGAUGAUCAGCCACACUGGGACUGAGACACGGCCCAGACUCCUACGGGAGGCAGCAGUGGGGAAUAUUGGACAAUGGGCGCAAGCCUGAUCCAGCCACGCCGCGUGAGUGAUGAA